UAACCUGCCCAAGAGAUCGGGAUAACACCUGGAAACAGAUGCUAAUACCGGAUAANAACAGAUGAUGCCUAUCAACUGUUUAAAAGAUGGUUCUGCUAUCACUCUUGGAUGGACCUGCGGUGCAUUAGCUAGUUGGUAGGGUAACGGCCUACCAAGGCGAUGAUGCAUAGCCGAGUUGAGAGACUGAUCGGCCACAUUGGGACUGAGACACGGCCCAAACUCCUACGGGAGGCAGCAGUU
RNAcentral lists this ribosomal RNA (240 nucleotides) under uncultured Lactobacillus sp. RNAcentral describes it as "partial 16S ribosomal RNA". It matches the Rfam family "Bacterial small subunit ribosomal RNA", at positions 122 to 355 of the family's 1533-position model. The record is from RNAcentral. Lineage: Bacteria; Bacillati; Bacillota; Bacilli; Lactobacillales; Lactobacillaceae.